Molecule: ribosomal RNA, 449 nt
Filed under: uncultured bacterium
Lineage: Bacteria
Description: bacterial SSU rRNA
Rfam family: Bacterial small subunit ribosomal RNA
Source: RNAcentral
UGGGGAAUAUUGGACAAUGGGCGCAAGCCUGAUCCAGCCAUGCCGCGUGGAUGAUGAAGGCCUUAGGGUUGUAAAGUCCUUUCGGCGGGGAAGAUAAUGACGGUACCCGCAGAAGAAGCCCCGGCUAACUUCGUGCCAGCAGCCGCGGUAAUACGAAGGGGGCUAGCGUUGCUCGGAAUCACUGGGCGUAAAGCGCACGUAGGCGGAUUUCUAAGUCGGUGGUGAAAUCCUGGAGCUCAACUCCAGAACUGCCUCCGAUACUGGGAGUCUUCGAGUCCGGGAGAGGUGAGUGGAACUGCGAGUGUAGAGGUGAAAUUCGUAGAUAUUCGCAAGAACACCAGUGGCGAAGGCGGCUCACUGGCCCCGGUACUGACGCUGAGGUGCGAAAGCGUGGGGAGCAAACAGGAUUAGAUACCCCAGUAGUCCCUGAGCGGGCUGGCAAGGCGCAU